This 234-nucleotide unclassified non-coding RNA is filed under the name Hevea brasiliensis (rubber tree). The record is from RNAcentral. Lineage: Eukaryota; Viridiplantae; Streptophyta; Magnoliopsida; Malpighiales; Euphorbiaceae.
GGAUUCAUAGAUCUAUUACUAUGAUAGUUAGAGGAGCCUCCAUUCAGAUAACUUGGUCUUGUGGGUGACGAAACCUUUUGGGUUGGAAGGCUAUCUGUUGCCCAUGAUGGAAGGAUUCGAGAAGUAGCAGAAUCUCUGAGAGGAGACUCAUCUGUGUAGUUGUCUAUUUCACGCAAGUCGGAAUCAUCUGAAGAGAUAUCAAUUGCAUCCAUUGGAGAGAAUGUAGAACCAACC